CCUACGGGUGGCAGCAGUGAGGAAUAUUGGUCAAUGGUCGGGAGACUGAACCAGCCAAGCCGCGUGAGGGAGGCAGGUACAGCGUAUCGUAAACCUCUUUUAUCAGGGAACAAAGACUGGGACUCGUCCCCGGAUGAGUGUACCUGAAGAAAAAGCAUCGGCUAACUCCGUCCCAGCAGCCGCGGUAAUACGGAGGAUGCGAGCGUUAUCCGGAUUUAUUGGGUUUAAAGGGUGCGCAGGCGGUCUGUUAAGUCCGCGGUAAAAUCCCGGGGCUCAACCCCGGCCCGCCGUUGAAACUGGCAGGCUCGAGUUGGAGAGAAGUAUGCGGAAUGCGCGGUGUAGCGGUGAAAUGCAUAGAUAUCGCGCAGAACUCCGAUUGCGAAGGCAGCAUGCCGGCUCCACACUGACGCUGAGGCACGAAAGCGUGGGUAUCGAACAGGAUUAGAUACCCUUGUAGUC
RNAcentral lists this ribosomal RNA (459 nucleotides) under uncultured bacterium. RNAcentral's name for it is "partial 16S ribosomal RNA". It matches the Rfam family "Bacterial small subunit ribosomal RNA", at positions 338 to 795 of the family's 1533-position model. The record is from RNAcentral.